Molecule: long non-coding RNA, 1543 nt
Organism: Gadus macrocephalus (Pacific cod)
Lineage: Eukaryota; Metazoa; Chordata; Actinopteri; Gadiformes; Gadidae
Exons: 4
Source: RefSeq, a predicted model, not a curated record
GAGUUUGCUACGAAAAAAUAAAGAAAAUGGCAAAAUAUGCACUAUUUGACUUUCCGGAUGAAGGGGCUGUGGACAUAGGCGAAAUAUCAUGGGUGGUACGCAAAGUAAAUUUAAAAGAUCCUUUUGUAACGUAUAAAGUUAAUUGGCCAAACAAGGGAAGGAUUGUGUCAUGUCCAGGACGGAUUAUAUCAGUCAGUGGUAAGUAACACAAGUUUUUUUCUCCUUUGACUAUGUUUACAUAAAAUAUGUGCAUAACUACAUACAUAUGGUAAUGUUUCAAAUAUCACGGUCAACGUUUUCGUUUCAAAAACGUUGUUAAUUGUUAAGCUCGCAACGGUAAGGCACGGUAAGGCCCCCUAGCUCGCGGCCUAUAAUGUGAGGCGCGGGAAGUGUGGGGUGCGCGGCCUGGAUUUAAAGAGAGAAACUUUAUUUUGCCCAAAAUAAUACUAGCAUUUUAAACACACAUAAUGAAAACGUCAUAAUUUUGACGUUUUCAGACAACAGAGAGGAGAUGGUUUGCAAGAGGAGGCAUUAUCUUGAUGGUGGAGACAAACUGUUGAGCCCGGAGGAGAAAGGGAAGAGGAAAAGGAAGAAACUGAAGAAUGGUUGAUAUUCUGACGACGACGACGACGACGUAGUAUCGCUGGUAGGUAACUAAAGUUUUAUCACAGAAAUGUCAUCUAUAGGCCUUGUGGAUGAGUUAAAUUAAAAUCGUUGAAAAACUAAACUUCAUUAUGAUUUAAAGGAUCCUCAGUUAAGUCAAUGUAAGAAGAAGAAGAAGAGAAAAAACACAGGUCUUAACGUCUUAAUGGAACUGGAAAAGCAAGGAUCAUGUCAGCUGAACUCAAUUAAUGAAACCAGGAAUGAAUGCCAUCACCCAUCUUUUGAGCUGUUGAGGGAGAACAACCACAGGCUGCAGAGGGAAAAUGAUUCUCUCAAGGCAAAAAUAGCAACAUUAAAAUGUAAUGCUAUUGUUGAAAACUUUGUUUUUUUUUACACAAGGGUUUUUCUGUUUUACAUGUUAGCUAAAAGGCUAUUAUGAAUCCUUUGCUCGGUGCUGCCAGACGUUUUGCAGAAGAUGGAGGAGUUUCUCCGCUCAGCACCAAGACCAACGACAACACCAAUACCAAGACCAACACCAAGACCAAGACCAGAACCAACACUAUCACCAGCACCAACAGCAGUUCCAGCCCCAGCAACAGAAGACCCAUCACCAGCUCCAGGUCCAUCAUCAGCAUCAGCAACAGAGGCCCUGGGCCACUCUGUCAUUCCAAAAGGACUUGUGGAGCGCUGCUCCUUCCAAAGCCCCCAGAAGUUCAUAAAUGAUCUCCUACAUGGGAUGUAUACCAGGGAAUAUAUGGCAGGCCAUUCAGUGACUGGCCAGUCAUCCAGCAGCUGCACAGAAGGAAAACCUGGCCUAGCCAAACAGGACCUUGUUGAAAUAACAAGUAGGUAUAUAGAAAUGAGAAAAGAUGUUGGUUGAGUGAUACCCUCAUUCUCAUGCUCAUCUUUCGUGUAUGUGUUUGUGUGUGUGUGUGUGUGU